AUUUUCGAUUAUUCGGCGGCCGCCCAAGGCUUUAAUUAUUUUCCUCACCUUAUACCUCCAAUUAAAUUUUUAGUGGAGCCCAAAGAAUUAGCCCAAAUUAAUAUAUAUAUAUCUCAAAUCCUUGUUUCUCCUUAAUCCAUUAACAAGGCCCAAAAAGAAAAAAAAGAGCCCAACUAUACUCCCAUCCUCCACGUCUCUCCCUCUUUCUCCCUAUCUCUUUAGCUUCUUCUCUCUCUCUCAUUUCUUCUACCCCCUUUUUUUUCAUUCUCGUCGCCUCCUCUCUUUUCGUCGGAGCCGCCGGCGCGGUGAGGGGUUCCAGCCGCCGAUCCACUGCUGCUGCCGGUGCAUUGCAGAGGUUACGCCCUUCCGUCGCCCGACACCGCCGCUGCCGUCGAGCUCCUCUGCCGCUCCAGCCUUCUUCGCCAGCCACCGUCGACGUCAGCAGCGCCCAGCCACCGUCGACAUCAGCAGCGAGCCGUCGAUGGUCGGACAGCCCAGGAACGUCCCCACCGCUAACCCGAACAGCCUCGAACAACUCCCCAACCGACCUCGAUUUAUCCCGAAAGACAAGGCUUUUACAAGGAUUGAAUGAGGGAGGUGGAAGAGUUGAAAGAUGGAGGGUCUCCUUAGAGGAAGGAACCGGCGCUGGGGAAGAAAGAAGAAUUUUGGACUUGCACCAACAAAUUCUAGGAAUGAAUUGGGCCCAAAGAUAUCUCUUUUAAUUUAAUAGCCCCAAAGCCAAAUUGUAAAAUAAAACAUUGGACUUUGAUUUAUAUUUAUUUGGGUCGGCCCAAGUUCUUAUAUUUA
Salvia splendens (bonfire salvia) is the source of this 807-nucleotide long non-coding RNA. RefSeq lists it as uncharacterized. The record is from RefSeq and is a predicted model, not a curated record. NCBI's taxonomy places the organism in Eukaryota, Viridiplantae, Streptophyta, Magnoliopsida, Lamiales, Lamiaceae. The transcript is spliced from 2 exons.